RNAcentral lists this transfer RNA (72 nucleotides) under Charadrius vociferus (killdeer). It matches the Rfam family "tRNA". Rfam says of the family: Transfer RNA (tRNA) molecules are approximately 80 nucleotides in length. Their secondary structure includes four short double-helical elements and three loops (D, anti-codon, and T loops). The record is from Rfam by way of RNAcentral. Lineage: Eukaryota; Metazoa; Chordata; Aves; Charadriiformes; Charadriidae.
GGGGAUGUAGCUAAGCGGGAGAGCACUUGCUUUGCAUGUAAGAGGCCCUGGGUUCAACCCCCAGCAUCUCCA